RNAcentral lists this ribosomal RNA (252 nucleotides) under uncultured bacterium. RNAcentral's name for it is "partial 16S ribosomal RNA". It matches the Rfam family "Bacterial small subunit ribosomal RNA", at positions 524 to 776 of the family's 1533-position model. The record is from RNAcentral.
UACGUAGGGGGCUAGCGUUAUCCGGAAUUACUGAGCGUAAAGGGUGCGUAGGUGGUUUCUUAAGUCAGAGGUGAAAGGCUACGGCUCAACCGUAGUAAGCCUUUGAAACUGGGAAACUUGAGUGCAGGAGAGGAGAGUGGAAUUCCUAGUGUAGCGGUGAAAUGCGUAGAUAUUAGGAGGAACACCAGUUGCGAAGGCGGCUCUCUGGACUGUAACUGACACUGAGGCACGAAAGCGUGGGGAGCAAACAGG